Molecule: long non-coding RNA, 1113 nt
Organism: Mustela lutreola (European mink)
Lineage: Eukaryota; Metazoa; Chordata; Mammalia; Carnivora; Mustelidae
Exons: 3
Source: RefSeq, a predicted model, not a curated record
UCUCUUUCUGCCAUAAGAGAUGACACAAGAAAUUAGCAGUCUGCAGCCAGAAGGGAGAUCUCCCCAGAACCCCACCACGCUGGCACCUUGAUCUCAGACUAUCAGUCACAGAAAUAGAUCUCUGUUGUUAACAAGCCACCAGGUCUGUGGCACUGAGAAACCAACGUUAAGACAUCAGCAAAUAUGUCUUGACAAAACAGCAACAGAACUCACAGUCUCAAGAGAAACCAUGCCAACAAGGAGAAAGAAUGAAGUAAUGCUCUACCCUUGGGACCGCUGGAGGCUAGAGCCCAACGUAAAAAUUGAGUCUUCUGAAAAUUAAGAAGUAGAUUAAUAAUUGUUUCCUGUCCUCCAUCUCUUCAGAAGGCAAAUAGGAAACUGGAGUUUUGUGGUGAUGGCAAGAGAAUAAAGAGCACUCAGAAGCUAUUCAUUUGUAGAGUGUAGAUCACACAGGAUGCAAGGGUCAAACAGUCUGUCUCUUGUACUAAGGAUGAGGAAACAGGCCCAGGGGACCUGAAUAAAGUUCUGGGGUGGUUAUAAGAAUUUUUCACCAACAAAUGAUGUGACUAUUACCAGCAUUUUCCAUUUUGUGUGUGUGUGUGUGUGUGUGUUUUAAAGAUUUAUUUAUUGGUCAGAGAGAGAGAGCACAAGCAGGGGGAGCAGCAGGCAGAGGGAGAAGCAGACUCCCCACUGGGCAAGGAGCCUGAUGUUGGACUCGAUCCCAAGACAUUGGGAUCAUGAUCUGAGCCAAAGGCAGCCACUUACACAACUGAGCCACCCAGGCAUCCCAACAUUUUCUAUUUGAAAAGGGUAUGUGGUGCAAGUGACUUAAUUAAAGUUUUUUAAACAACUCUGUGAGGGGCACCUAGGUGGCUCAGUCCUUAAGUGUCUGCCUUCAGGUCAGGUCAUGAUCCCAGAGUCCUGGGAUCGAGCCCUGCAUCAGGUUCCCUGCUCAGAGGGGAGCCUGCUUCAUCCUCUCCCACUCCCUCUGUUUAUGUUCCCACUCUUACUGUGUCUCUCUCUGACAAAUCAAUCAAUCAAUCAAUAAAAACAAAAAACCCAACUCUGUGAAUAGGUACAACAAUUAUCCCCAAAUAACGGAUGAGGAAACUG